GUAGGUGGCAAGCGUUGUCCGGAAUUAUUGGGCGUAAAGCGCGCGCAGGCGGUCCUUUAAGUCUGAUGUGAAAGCCCACGGCUCAACCGUGGAGGGUCAUUGGAAACUGGGGGACUUGAGUACAGAAGAGGAAAGCGGAAUUCCAAGUGUAGCGGUGAAAUGCGUAGAGAUUUGGAGGAACACCAGUGGCGAAGGCGGCUUCCUGGUCUGUAACUGGCGCUGAGGCGCGAAAGCGUGGGGAGCAAACAGGGAUUAGAUACCCUGGUAGUCCACGCCGUAAACGAUGAGUGCUAAGUGUUAGGGGGUUUCCCGCCCCCUUAGUGCUGCAGCUAACGCAUUAAGCACUCCGCCUGGGGAUACGGCCGCAAGGCUG
RNAcentral lists this ribosomal RNA (373 nucleotides) under uncultured organism. RNAcentral's name for it is "partial 16S ribosomal RNA". It matches the Rfam family "Bacterial small subunit ribosomal RNA", at positions 527 to 896 of the family's 1533-position model. The record is from RNAcentral.